AGAGUUUGAUCAUGGCUCAGAUUGAACGCUGGCGGCAUGCUUACACACGCAAGUCGAACGGCAGCACGGGGGCAACCCUGGUGGCGAGUGGCGAACGGGUGAGUAAUACAUCGGAACGUGUCCUGGAGUGGGGGGAUAGCCCGGCGAAAGCCGGAUUAAUACCGCAUACGCUCUGAGGAGGAAAGGGGGGGAUCUUUCGGGACCUCUCGCUCAAGGGGCGGCCGAUGGCAGAUUAGCUAGUUGGUGGGGUAAAGGCCUACCAAGGCGACGAUCUGUAGCUGGUCUGAGAGGACGACCAGCCACACUGGGACUGAGACACGGCCCAGACUCCUACGGGAGGCAGCAGUGGGGAAUUUUGGACAAUGGGCGCAAGCCUGAUCCAGCAAUGCCGCGUGUGUGAAGAAGGCCUUCGGGUUGUAAAGCACUUUUGUCCGGAAAGAAAACCUCUUGGUUAAUACCUGAGGGGGAUGACGGUACCGGAAGAAUAAGCACCGGCUAACUACGUGCCAGCAGCCGCGGUAAUACGUAGGGUGCAAGCGUUAAUCGGAAUUACUGGGCGUAAAGCGUGCGCAGGCGGUUCGCUAAGACAGAUGUGAAAUCCCCGGGCUUAACCUGGGAACUGCAUUUGUGACUGGCGGGCUAGAGUAUGGCAGAGGGGGGUAGAAUUCCCGUGUAGCAGUGAAAUGCGUAGGGAUGUGGAGGAAUACCGAUGGCGAAGGCAGCCCCCUGGGGCCAAUACUGACGCUCAUGCACGAAAGCGUGGGGAGCAAACAGGAUUAGAUACCCUAGUAGUCC
RNAcentral lists this ribosomal RNA (795 nucleotides) under uncultured bacterium. RNAcentral describes it as "bacterial SSU rRNA". It matches the Rfam family "Bacterial small subunit ribosomal RNA", at positions 8 to 796 of the family's 1533-position model. The record is from RNAcentral.